AGUGAACGCUGGCGGCAGGCCUAACACAUGCAAGUCGAACGGCAGCACAGGAGAGCUUGCUCUCUGGGUGGCGAGUGGCGGACGGGUGAGGAAUGCGUCGGAAUCUGCCUAUUUGUGGGGGAUAACGUAGGGAAACUUACGCUAAUACCGCAUACGACCUACGGGUGAAAGGUGGGGGACCGCAAGGCCUCACGCAGAUA
This 200-nucleotide ribosomal RNA is filed under the name uncultured bacterium. Its description in RNAcentral is "partial 16S ribosomal RNA". It matches the Rfam family "Bacterial small subunit ribosomal RNA", at positions 29 to 223 of the family's 1533-position model. The record is from RNAcentral.